Molecule: long non-coding RNA, 764 nt
Filed under: Panax ginseng (ginseng)
Lineage: Eukaryota; Viridiplantae; Streptophyta; Magnoliopsida; Apiales; Araliaceae
Description: long non-coding RNA (PGIN_LNC014406)
Source: RNAcentral
AUCAAUUACUUGUAACAAGGAUUCACCUCCCUUUAGAACUGAAUAAAAAGAACUAGCCUGACAUGCUCUUGAGUCUACACUCCAAUAGAUGAUAGUUGAUAGUUGAAUGAAUAAAACAUUAACUCUCAUCCUCUAUUUAUAGUGCUAGACAAAGUCCUAAAUCCUAUAGGAUGUAGAAAUCCAAAUCCUAAAAGGAAUUACAAAUCAUAACUAGUUUCCAUAAAGAAAUAGAAUUUAAUUUGGAAAUAAAUCGUAGUCUAAAGAAAAUCCUAAAGCUAAUAGAAAUAUCAAUCCAAUUCCAUGUAGAAGUCUACCAAAAUCUGCAUUUAGAAACUUUCCAAAAAUCCAAGAUUUCCUGAUUUUCCCGCUCAAAUUCGCUGGGGCGAAUUUUCAUUUCCUGCUGCGAUGUCCUUUGGUAAAACGAGCAUAACUUUUGAUCCAGGAGGAUUUAUAGGAGCUGCUACCUAUUAAAACGAAGAUAUCGACGAGAUCUACAACUUUCAUUCUUUAAGAAUCGACAGAAUCGCUCUGUAUCAAGGUCGAAAUCGGGCUCCAAGUGACUGCUGUGUAAAUUGCAACUUCCAAACUUUGAGGUUCAACGUCCGUUUAGUAAAAAUAUCAUAACUUUUUCAUAUGAACUCCGAUUGGGACGAUUCAAGAUGUUCCGGAAAGCUAAAGAAGAGCUCUACAAUAAAAUUCAAGUCCCAAGCUAAGAACAUGCAUCCAACUUAAUGCUAAAAAUUCUGCAAUUUUCUCUUUUUCCU